Molecule: ribosomal RNA, 519 nt
Filed under: uncultured Glomeromycotina
Lineage: Eukaryota; Fungi; Glomeromycota
Description: SSU rRNA
Rfam family: Eukaryotic small subunit ribosomal RNA
Source: RNAcentral
AGCAGCCGCGGUAAUUCCAGCUCCAAUAGCGUAUAUUAAAGUUGUUGCAGUUAAAAAAGCUCGUAGUUGAAUUUCGGAGUUUGUCGGUUGGUCGGGCUUCACUGUCCGCACUGGCCUGAUGGAUUCCUACCUUCUGAAUAACCAGCAUGCUAUUAAGUUAGUGCGUUGGGGAAGCAGAGCUAUUACCUUGAAAAAUUGAGUGCUUAAAGCAGGCUUAUGCUUGAAUAGAUUAGCAUGGAAUAAUAAAAUAGGACGGCAUGGUUCUAUUUUGUUGGUUUCUAGGAUCACCGUAAUGAUUAAUAGGGAUAGUUGGGGGCAUUAGUAUUCAAUUGUCAGAGGUGAAAUUCUUGGAUUUAUUGAAGACUAAACUUCUGCGAAAGCAUUUGCCAAGGAUGUUUUCAUUAAUCAAGAACGAAAGUUAGGGGAUCGAAGACGAUCAGAUACCGUCGUAGUCUUAAACCAUAAACUAUGCCGACUAGGGAUCGGACGAUGUUAAUUUUAAUGACUCGUUCGGUACCG